UGCUCGAAGAUUGCGGUCUGAG
RNAcentral lists this non-coding RNA (22 nucleotides) under Arabidopsis thaliana (thale cress). The record is from RNAcentral. Lineage: Eukaryota; Viridiplantae; Streptophyta; Magnoliopsida; Brassicales; Brassicaceae.